RNAcentral lists this ribosomal RNA (762 nucleotides) under Triticum aestivum (bread wheat). Its description in RNAcentral is "partial small subunit ribosomal RNA". Lineage: Eukaryota; Viridiplantae; Streptophyta; Magnoliopsida; Poales; Poaceae. The record is from RNAcentral.
AUGGCCAGAUCCAUGUUGGCACUGUUCGUCAUCCUAACUGCGGCCGGCUGCUUCGCGCCGGCCGCGCAGGCGUGGUGGUACCAAGGAACGGCCACGUUCUACGGCGGCGCCGACGGCUCCGGGACAAUGGGCGGCGCGUGCGGGUAUGGGAACCUGUACAGUUCUGGGUACGGGGUCAACAACGCGGCGCUGAGCACGGCGCUGUUCAACGACGGCGCGUCGUGCGGACAGUGCUACCUCAUCACCUGCGACACCGGCAAGUCGAAGAUGUGCAAGCCCGGCACGUCCAUCACCGUGACCGCCACCAACUUCUGCCCUCCAAACUGGGCUCUCGCCAGCGACAACGGCGGCUGGUGCAACCCGCCGCGCCCCCACUUCGACAUGUCCCAGCCCGCCUGGGAGACCCUCGCCAUCUACCGCGCCGGCAUCGUCCCCGUCCUCUACCAGCAGGUGAGGUGCUCGAAGAUGGGAGGGAUCAGGUUCACCAUUGGAGGGUUCAACAACUUCGAGCUGGUGCUGAUCACCAACGUGGGCGGGCCGGGGUCGAUCCGGUCGGUGUCGAUCAAGGGGGAGAGGACGGACUGGAUCCAGCUGAGCCGGAAUUGGGGAGCAAACUGGCAGUGCAACGCGCCGCUGGUCGGGCAAGGGAUCUCCUUCUCCGUCACCUCCACCAACGGCCAGACGCUCUACAUGUACAACCUCGUGCCGGCGUGGUGGGGGUUCGGCAUGACCUUCACCAGCAACCAGCAGUUCGGCUAUUAA